RNAcentral lists this ribosomal RNA (130 nucleotides) under Sporothrix sp. 1 RJ-2012. RNAcentral's name for it is "partial 28S ribosomal RNA". It matches the Rfam family "Eukaryotic large subunit ribosomal RNA", at positions 1 to 124 of the family's 3401-position model. Lineage: Eukaryota; Fungi; Ascomycota; Sordariomycetes; Ophiostomatales; Ophiostomataceae. The record is from RNAcentral.
UUGACCUCGGAUCAGGUAGGACUACCUCGCUGAACUUAAGCAUAUCAAUAAACGGAGGGAAAAGAAACCAACAGGGAUUGCCCCCAGUAAACGGCGAGUGAAGCGGCCACAGCUUCAAAUUUGAAAUCUG